AAAACAUUUGGACACAACUACAUCCUGAACUCAAAUUUCCAUCGUUAUCUUUCACAGUAAUAAACUUUACGAAUCUUACUCUGACAACAAUAAUCCAACUUGUUCAUUUGAUAAGAGCCGUAGUUCCUAAUUGACAAUUGGCGCAAUCAGGAAAAGCCAGAUUACAAUAUCAGCAGCUAAAAAGAAUCAUUAAAUGCUUACAUUCUUCAUAUUAAAUUUUAAUGAUUUCAUAGAAAACAAAUACCAAAGACACUCUUCUGCGUCAUCCAAUUUCCACAGAAAGCAAAAUUAGCAAUCAUAGUACCUCUGGG
RNAcentral lists this unclassified non-coding RNA (311 nucleotides) under Hevea brasiliensis (rubber tree). Lineage: Eukaryota; Viridiplantae; Streptophyta; Magnoliopsida; Malpighiales; Euphorbiaceae. The record is from RNAcentral.